GAUGAACGCUGGCGGCGUGCCUAAUACAUGCAAGUCGAGCGAAUCCCUUCGGGGGUUAGCGGCGGACGGGUGAGUAACACGUAGGUAACCUGCCUGUAAGACUGGGAUAACCUCGGGAAACCGAAGCUAAUACCGGAUAAUUUCUUUCAUUGCAUGAUGAAAGAUGGAAAGACGGCGUAAGCUGUCACUUACAGAUGGACCUGCGGCGCAUUAGCUAGUUGGUGAGGUAACGGCUCACCAAGGCGACGAUGCGUAGCCGACCUGAGAGGGUGAUCGGCCAGAAUGGGGCUGAGACACGGCCCAGGCUCCUACGGGAGGGAGCAGUAGGGAAUCUUCGGCAAUGGGCGAAAGCCUGACCGAGCAACGCCGCGUGAGCGAUGAAGGCCUUCGGGUCGUAAAGCUCUGUUGUUAGGGAAGAACAAGUACGAGAGUAACUGCUCGUAUGAUGACGGUACCUAACGAGAAAGCCACGGCUAACUACGUGCCAGCCGCCGCGGUAA
RNAcentral lists this ribosomal RNA (500 nucleotides) under uncultured bacterium. RNAcentral's name for it is "partial 16S ribosomal RNA". It matches the Rfam family "Bacterial small subunit ribosomal RNA", at positions 28 to 523 of the family's 1533-position model. The record is from RNAcentral.